This 449-nucleotide ribosomal RNA is filed under the name uncultured bacterium. RNAcentral describes it as "SSU rRNA". It matches the Rfam family "Bacterial small subunit ribosomal RNA", at positions 26 to 518 of the family's 1533-position model. The record is from RNAcentral.
AGAGCGAACGCUGGCGGCAGGCCUAACACAUGCAAGUCGAGCGCCCGUAGCAAUACGGGAGCGGCAGACGGGAUAGUAACACGUGGGAACGCGCCCUUCGGUUCGGAAUAACUCAGGGAAACUUGAGCUAAUACCGGAUACGCCCUUACGGGGAAAGAUUUAUUGCCGAAGGAACGGCCCGCGUCCGAUUAGCUAGUUGGUGAGGUAAUGGCUCACCAAGGCGACGAUCGGUAGCUGGUCUGAGAGGAUGACCAGCAUCACUGGGACUGAGACACGGCCCAGACUCCUACGGGAGGCAGCAGUGGGGAAUAUUGGACAAUGGGCGCAAGCCUGAUCCAGCCAUGCCGCGUGGAUGAUGAAGGCCUUAGGGUUGUAAAGUCCUUUUAAACGGGGAAGAUAAUGACGGUACCCGUAGAAUAAGCCCCGGCUAACUUCGUGCCAGCAGCCGC